Molecule: unclassified non-coding RNA, 240 nt
Filed under: soil metagenome
Description: partial contains 5.8S ribosomal RNA, internal transcribed spacer 2, and large subunit ribosomal RNA
Source: RNAcentral
AACGCACGAGACCUGCGGACCUGCGGAGGGAUCAUUACCGAGUUUCCGCAAACUCCCAAACCCACCGCGAACCUUACCUCUCGUUGCUUCGGCGGGUCAGCCCCGGGCCCAGCGCGGCCCGGAACCAGGCCCCCGCCGGAGGCCCCACGAAACUCCAUCUUCCCGAGCGGCCCCCUGGCGGGCGCGGAAAAAAACGAAGAAGAAACCCCCGAAAGGGGAAAAAAUGAAUCAAAACUUUCA